GUAUAGCCUAGUGGACAUGGAAUCUGCCCGGUAAGCGGAACAUUGUGGGUUCGAUUCCCAUUAAUA
This 66-nucleotide transfer RNA is filed under the name Cordylochernes scorpioides. RNAcentral's name for it is "tRNA-Thr". It matches the Rfam family "tRNA", at positions 6 to 65 of the family's 71-position model. Rfam says of the family: Transfer RNA (tRNA) molecules are approximately 80 nucleotides in length. Their secondary structure includes four short double-helical elements and three loops (D, anti-codon, and T loops). Lineage: Eukaryota; Metazoa; Arthropoda; Arachnida; Pseudoscorpiones; Chernetidae. The record is from RNAcentral.